CGUGGGUGAUCUGCCCUGCACUUUGGGAUAAGCCUGGGAAAACUGGGUCUAAUACCGAAUAGGACUCCGGACUGCAUGGUCUGGGGUGGAAAGCUUUUGCGGUGUGGGAUGGGCCCGCGGCCUAUCAGCUUGUUGGUGGGGUGAUGGCCUACCAAGGCGACGACGGGUAGCCGGCCUGAGAGGGUGUCCGGCCACACUGGGACUGAGAUACGGCCCAGACUCCUACGGGAGGCAGCAGUGGGGAAUAUUGCACAAUGGGCGCAAGCCUGAUGCAGCGACGCCGCGUGAGGGAUGACGGCCUUCGGGUUGUAAACCUCUUUCGCCAGGGACGAAGCGCAAGUGACGGUACCUGGAGAAGAAGCACCGGCCAACUACGUGCCAGCAGCCGCGGUAAUACGUAGGGUGCGAGCGUUGUCCGGAAUUACUGGGCGUAAAGAGCUCGUAGGUGGUUUGUCGCGUUGUUCGUGAAAACUCACAGCUUAACUGUGGGCGUGCGGGCGAUACGGGCAGACUGGAGUACUGCAGGGGAGACUGGAAUUCCUGGUGUAGCGGUGGAAUGCGCAGAUAUCAGGAGGAACACCGGUGGCGAAGGCGGGUCUCUGGGCAGUAACUGACGCUGAGGAGCGAAAGCGUGGGGAGCGAACAGGAUUAGAUACCCUGGUAGUCCACGCCGUAAACGGUGGGUACUAGGUGUGGGUUUCCUUCCUUGGGAUCCGUGCCGUAGCUAACGCAUUAAGUACCCCGCCUGGGGAGUACGGCCGCAAGGCUAAAACUCAAAGGAAUUGACGGGGGCCC
This 795-nucleotide ribosomal RNA is filed under the name Mycobacterium sp. DWR39b. RNAcentral describes it as "bacterial SSU rRNA". It matches the Rfam family "Bacterial small subunit ribosomal RNA", at positions 116 to 922 of the family's 1533-position model. The record is from RNAcentral. Lineage: Bacteria; Bacillati; Actinomycetota; Actinomycetes; Mycobacteriales; Mycobacteriaceae.